UUGUUGAUUUCUGUUUGAAGUGACUCAGAUGACAAUGUCAGGAUGCAUUGGUUAUCUCCAGAACAUUCUUUUGAAUAUCGUGUCAUGGUGAAGACACGACUUAGUAUUGCAAGAUGUCAUUAAUCUUAUGGAUCUGCUGUGGUAUAGUUUUCAUUCAACAAGUGUUUAGUGUCUUUGUAGCAGUUUGUAUUAAGCAAUUUGCAAGCAAAUUAUAAAUGUACAUUCUGUUUAAGGCUCAAUAUUUUGCUUUGUUUAUAAUAUUCAACAAAAACAUGACACUGUGUUGUUUUUUUUAAGUCAUUGGAUUUUAAGAAAGUUUCCUUUUUUUAAUAAACUUUUUUAAAACAAAAUUUAUAUUUGCCAAAUGUAUUUUGAGCCCAGGAAGUAAUAAUUUUUAGAAAGUUAGUUCCCAGCUUGCUCAGUAUUACAAAACGUGCUAGAAAGAAACUGCUUUUCUGUAGCAAGAGACAAAAAAAAAG
Non-coding RNA from Biomphalaria pfeifferi, 479 nucleotides. Lineage: Eukaryota; Metazoa; Mollusca; Gastropoda; Planorbidae. The record is from the annotation of a GenBank genome assembly.